Molecule: ribosomal RNA, 253 nt
Filed under: uncultured bacterium
Lineage: Bacteria
Description: partial 16S ribosomal RNA
Rfam family: Bacterial small subunit ribosomal RNA
Source: RNAcentral
UACAGAGGGUGCAAGCGUUAAUCGGAAUUACUGGGCGUAAAGCGUGCGCAGGCUGUUUUGUAAGUCAGAUGUGAAAUCCCUGAGCUCAACUUAGGAACUGCGUUUGAAACUACAAGACUAGAAUAGGUCAGAGGGGGGUAGAAUUCCACGUGUAGCAGUGAAAUGCGUAGAGAUGUGGAGGAAUACCAAUGGCGAAGGCAGCCCCCUGGGAUCAUAUUGACGCUCAUGCACGAAAGCGUGGGGAGCAAACAGG